AGUGGAGUUUCUGGGUUAUAUGGUGACUCAAUGUUUAACCACAAGUCGAAUUCCCAGGGUGUUGUCCAAUGUGGCUGUACCAUUAUACAUUCCCAACAGCAGU
RNAcentral lists this microRNA precursor (103 nucleotides) under Marmota monax (woodchuck). Lineage: Eukaryota; Metazoa; Chordata; Mammalia; Rodentia; Sciuridae. The record is from RNAcentral.